AGGGAAGUAGUUCAGUCUGGAAGAACGCUUCGUUUGGGACGAAGAGGUCGCAGGUUCAAAUCCUGUCUUCCCUACCA
This 77-nucleotide transfer RNA is filed under the name Methanobacteriota archaeon. RNAcentral describes it as "Euryarchaeota archaeon tRNA-Pro". It matches the Rfam family "tRNA". Rfam says of the family: Transfer RNA (tRNA) molecules are approximately 80 nucleotides in length. The record is from RNAcentral. Lineage: Archaea; Methanobacteriati; Methanobacteriota.